Molecule: ribosomal RNA, 410 nt
Filed under: uncultured bacterium
Lineage: Bacteria
Description: bacterial SSU rRNA
Rfam family: Bacterial small subunit ribosomal RNA
Source: RNAcentral
UGGGGAAUAUUGCACAAUGGGGAAGACCCUGAUGCAGCGACGCCGCGUGAGCGAAGAAGUAUCUCGGUAUGUAAACUUCUAUCAGCAGGGAAGAAAAUGACGGUACCUGACUAAGAAGCCCCGGCUAACUACGUGCCAGCAGCCGCGGUAAUACGUAGGGGGCAAGCGUUAUCCGGAUCUACUGGGUGUAAAGGGAGCGUAGACGGAAGAGCAAGUCUGAUGUGAAAGGCUGGGCUUAACCCAGACUGCAUUGGAACUGUUUUCUAGAGUUGCCGGAGAGGUAAGCGGAAUUCCUAGUGUAGCGGUGAAAUGCGUAGAUAUUAGGAGGAACACCAGUGGCGAAGGCGGCUUACUGGACGGUAACUGACGUUGAGGCUCGAAAGCGUGGGGAGCAAACAGGAUUAGAUACC